RNAcentral lists this precursor RNA (937 nucleotides) under Betula luminifera. Its description in RNAcentral is "precursor microRNA MIR393a". The stretch from base 599 to 692 matches the Rfam family "mir-393 microRNA precursor family". Lineage: Eukaryota; Viridiplantae; Streptophyta; Magnoliopsida; Fagales; Betulaceae. The record is from RNAcentral.
AUAUGAUCGUACCAUUGACCAAUAUAAAUAUAAAAAUAUAAAAAAAGUUUAUUUACAAUUAUAAAAUUACAUAAAGUAAUUAUUAAUUAUUAUGAUGAGAAUGUAUUUCUUAAGAAACAAGCAUAAAAAAGUUUGGUGUGUGAGAGGGAACAUGGACUGGACCACAAGUCUUCAUUAAAAAUAAGGGAAAAAAAUCAAAUAAAAUUAUUAAUAUCGCUACCCAACUUGUUGGGAAAUUCUAAGAAAGGAUAGGUGACCCACUACUGGUAAACCCUUUCCCAUGUGUCUGGUUUUGUUAGAAAAAUGGGGUCUACAAGCAAUUAAAUAUCUUUGAAAAAACAUUUGUGAUGAUUUGGUAAAUCUAAAUAAAUUUAUUAAAUUGGAUUUUAUUUUCAGCAAAAAAUAAAUAAAAAUUAAAAGGUGAAAUUUUAGUCAUUUUUAGAGCACUUAGUCUCUUUUAUAUUGAAGGCUCCCUCACACCACUUUCCUCUACAACACUCACAAAAGAGAGAGAUUGCUGCACAGAGAGAGAGAGAGGGAGGGAGAGAGAGAGGGGUUGAUGAUCAGGAAGGUUUCUGGGUUUUUUUUUACUGCAACUGGAGGAGGCAUCCAAAGGGAUCGCAUUGAUCCCAAGUUUCACUCUCCCAAAAUUUUUCAAUUUAGGAUCAUGCUAUCCCUUUGGAUUCCUCCUUUGGUAGCUGCUACACAGCCUCUUUUCAUGCAUGAACACCUAUAUAUAUAUCCAAUGAUUCAAGUAAGUCUCUUGCUCACAUUAUUAGCCUAAUUUGUCUAGCUUUCAACUCAUCACCAAGAACCCACCUUUGCAUGAAUUUUACAGUUUGUUUUCUUCUUAAGUUUCUUAUACCAAAGAUCAUAUAUAUAUAUAUAUAUAUAUAUAUAUAUAUAUAUAUAUAUAUAUAUUGCAUAUUUUUCAUCA